AUGGAAGGCCCAGUUCAGCUUCUCUGCCUGCUAGUAUUCUCGCUUCCAGAUGCCAUGGGAGACAUUGUGAUGACUCAGUCCCCAGCUUCCCUCUCUCUGUCUCCUGGUGAAAGAGCCUCCCUCACCUGCAAGUCCAGUGAGAGUGUUUACAGUGCCUUACACUGGUAUCAGCAGAAACCUGGGCAGGCUCCCAGGCUCCUCAUCUAUGGUGCAUCCAACAGGGUUGAUGGCAUCCCAGAGCGAUUCAGUGGGAGUGGGUCUGGGACAGGCUACACUCUCACUAUCAGCAGCCUGGAAGCUGAAGAUGUUGGAAUUUAUUACUGUCAACAUGGACUUAAAACUCCUCCCACAGUGUUACAUGCUUGA
Molecule: non-coding RNA, 366 nt
Organism: Chrysochloris asiatica (Cape golden mole)
Lineage: Eukaryota; Metazoa; Chordata; Mammalia; Afrosoricida; Chrysochloridae
Source: the annotation of a RefSeq genome assembly